This 253-nucleotide unclassified non-coding RNA is filed under the name uncultured Bacillaceae bacterium. RNAcentral describes it as "contains 16S-23S intergenic spacer region". It matches the Rfam family "Bacterial small subunit ribosomal RNA", at positions 524 to 776 of the family's 1533-position model. The record is from RNAcentral. Lineage: Bacteria; Bacillati; Bacillota; Bacilli; Caryophanales; Bacillaceae.
UACGUAGGUGGCAAGCGUUAUCCGGAAUUAUUGGGCGUAAAGCGCGCGUAGGCGGUCUGUUAAGUCUGAUGUGAAAGCCCCCGGCUCAACCGGGGAGGGUCAUUGGAAACUGGGGGACUUGAGUACAGAAGAGGAAAGUGGAAUUCCCGGUGUAGCGGUGAAAUGCGUAGAUAUGUGGAGGAACACCAGUGGCGAAGGCGACUUUCUGGCCUAUAACUGACGCUGAGGCGCGAAAGCGUGGGGAGCAAACAGG